AGAGUUUGAUCAUGGCUCAGGAUGAACGCUGGCGGCGUGCCUAAUACAUGCAAGUCGAGCGAACAGAUAAGGAGCUUGCUCCUUUGACGUUAGCGGCGGACGGGUGAGUAACACGUGGGUAACCUACCUAUAAGACUGGAAUAACUCCGGGAAACCGGGGCUAAUGCCGGAUAACAUUUAGAACCGCAUGGUUCUAAAGUGAAAGAUGGUUUUGCUAUCACUUAUAGAUGGACCCGCGCCGUAUUAGCUAGUUGGUAAGGUAAUGGCUUACCAAGGCAACGAUACGUAGCCGACCUGAGAGGGUGAUCGGCCACACUGGAACUGAGACACGGUCCAGACUCCUACGGGAGGCAGCAGUAGGGAAUCUUCCGCAAUGGGCGAAAGCCUGACGGAGCAACGCCGCGUGAGUGAUGAAGGGUUUCGGCUCGUAAAACUCUGUUAUUAGGGAAGAAUAAACGUGUAAGUAACUGUGCACGUCUUGACGGUACCUAAUCAGAAAGCCACGGCUAACUACGUGCCAGCAGCCGCGGUAAUACGUAGGUGGCAAGCGUUAUCCGGAAUUAUUGGGCGUAAAGCGCGCGUAGGCGGUUUCUUAAGUCUGAUGUGAAAGCCCACGGCUCAACCGUGGAGGGUCAUUGGAAACUGGGAGACUUGAGUGCAGAAGAGGAAAGUGGAAUUCCAUGUGUAGCGGUGAAAUGCGCAGAGAUAUGGAGGAACACCAGUGGCGAAGGCGACUUUCUGGUCUGUAACUGACGCUGAUGUGCGAAAGCGUGGGGAUCAAACAGGAUUAGAUACCCUGGUAGUCC
This 806-nucleotide ribosomal RNA is filed under the name uncultured bacterium. Its description in RNAcentral is "bacterial SSU rRNA". It matches the Rfam family "Bacterial small subunit ribosomal RNA", at positions 8 to 796 of the family's 1533-position model. The record is from RNAcentral.